GGAUUUUUAGCUCAGAUGGCAGAGCAGUUGACUUUUAAUCAUCUGGUCGAGGGGUUCGAAUCCCUCAGAACCCACCA
RNAcentral lists this transfer RNA (77 nucleotides) under Paenibacillus macquariensis subsp. defensor. RNAcentral's name for it is "tRNA-Lys". It matches the Rfam family "tRNA". Rfam says of the family: Transfer RNA (tRNA) molecules are approximately 80 nucleotides in length. Their secondary structure includes four short double-helical elements and three loops (D, anti-codon, and T loops). The record is from RNAcentral. Lineage: Bacteria; Bacillati; Bacillota; Bacilli; Caryophanales; Paenibacillaceae.